GAUCAAUUUAAAAUGAACGCUGGCGGCAGGCCUAACACAUGCAAGAUCGAGCGGUAACAGCUCUAGCUUGCUACACGCUGACGAGCGGCGGACGGGUGUAGUAAUGCAUAGGAAUCUGCCCGAUAGUGGGGGAUAACCUGGGGAAACCCAGGCUAAUACCGCAUACGUCCUACGGGAGAAAGGGGGCUUCGGCUCCCCUAUUGGAUGAGCCUAUGUCGGAUUAGCUAGUUGGUAAGGUAAUGGCUUACCAAGGCAACGAUCCGUAGCUGGUCUGAGAGGAUGAUCAGCCACAUCGGGACUGAACACGGCCCGAACUCCUACGGGAGGCAGCAGUGGGGAAUAUUGGACAAUGGGGGCAACCCUAUCCAGCCAUGCCGCGUGUGUGAAGAAGGCCCUCGGGUUGUAAAGCACUUUCAGCGAGGAAGAACGCCUAUCGGUUAAUACCCGGUAGGAAAGACAUCACUCGCAGAAGAAGCACCGGCUAACUCCGUGCCAGCAGCCGCGGUAAUACGGAGGGUGCAAGCGUUAAUCGGAAUUACUGGGCGUAAAGCGCGCGUAGGUGGCUUAUAAGCCGGUUGUGAAAGCCCCGGGCUCAACCUGGGAACGGCAUCCGGAACAGGCUAGAGUGCAGGAGAGGAAGGUAGAAUUCCCGGUGUAGCGGUGAAAUGCGUAGAGAUCGGGAGGAAUAACCAGUGGCGAAGGCGGCCUUCUGGACUGACACUGACACUGAGGUGCGAAAGCGUGCA
This 746-nucleotide ribosomal RNA is filed under the name Halovibrio variabilis. Its description in RNAcentral is "bacterial SSU rRNA". It matches the Rfam family "Bacterial small subunit ribosomal RNA", at positions 1 to 765 of the family's 1533-position model. Lineage: Bacteria; Pseudomonadati; Pseudomonadota; Gammaproteobacteria; Oceanospirillales; Halomonadaceae. The record is from RNAcentral.